Non-coding RNA from Danio rerio (zebrafish), 272 nucleotides. The record is from RefSeq and is a predicted model, not a curated record. Lineage: Eukaryota; Metazoa; Chordata; Actinopteri; Cypriniformes; Danionidae.
CUCCGGUUUUCCCAAGUCCAAAGACAUAGGUGAAUUGGAUUGGUGUUCGCUGAUGGUCUGUUGAGAAUUCUGCUGAGUUGAAGGGAUCCUCCUGUCAGACAACCUCUCCAAAGUACAAUAGGACUAGGUUCCCACUACAAGGAUUAGAUUUGGCUACUGCAGUCCCGGUUUGGGCCAGCCUCACUUGUGAAGACUAAAGAUGAAGACAACAUACAAGAACAAUUUAGAGGAUGGCGACACACUUUUUAUUCCACCUAUAUAUCCCCUUUUAU